Molecule: ribosomal RNA, 253 nt
Filed under: uncultured bacterium
Lineage: Bacteria
Description: partial 16S ribosomal RNA
Rfam family: Bacterial small subunit ribosomal RNA
Source: RNAcentral
UACAGAGGUCUCAAGCGUUGUUCGGAUUCAUUGGGCGUAAAGGGUGUGUAGGUGGCGCCGUAAGUCGGGUGUGAAAUUUCGGAGCUUAACUCCGAAACUGCAUUUGAUACUGGCGUGCUUGAGGACUGGAGAGGAGACUGGAAUUCACGGUGUAGCAGUGAAAUGCGUAGAUAUCGUGAGGAAGACCAGUGGCGAAGGCGGGUCUCUGGACAGUUCCUGACACUGAGGCACGAAGGCCAGGGGAGCAAACGGG